GCGGCUCGGCCUGGCCAGCCGCCAGGCGCAUGCCCACCCCCAAAGCAGGGGGGACGGGUGAGAGGAGAAGCCCGCGGCGAAUGGAUGUGCCCGCCCUGCUUCCUGGGAGAGCACCCACCCUGCAACCAACGGGGCUGGCGAGAGGCGAAGCCUGCAGCCGGCCUAGCCGGCUGUGGGGUGUGUGGACAAGCCCGCCCUGCUGCCUGCAGGGCGGGCAAGGAUGAAGCCUGCGGCUCGACUCGUGGAGCCACAGUGCAAGGGCAGAAGAGCCGCAUGCGGCUCUUGAGCCGCAGGUUCCCUAUCCCUGAGCUAAGGGAAG
Sphaerodactylus townsendi is the source of this 319-nucleotide long non-coding RNA. RefSeq lists it as uncharacterized. The record is from RefSeq and is a predicted model, not a curated record. The transcript is spliced from 2 exons. NCBI's taxonomy places the organism in Eukaryota, Metazoa, Chordata, Lepidosauria, Squamata, Sphaerodactylidae.